UUAGUACAACCCUUGAAAGAGAUCUGUAAUGAAAUAAUGGAGGGGAAAAGGGCACCAGAGUCGUGGAAAGAAGCUUAGAUUACACUUGUACCGAAAACAGAGACUGAAAAGACACAGCUUAAGAACUACCGCCCCAUAUCAUUACUUAAUGUGGAUUACAAAAUUUUUGCAGACAUUUUGGCUAAGAGAUUUAAAAAGUGUUGAUGGAAGAGAUUCAUAAAGAUCAAGCGGGCUUUCUCCCGGGAAGACACUUGUCUGACAAUUUGAGGAAUAUAAUUGAUAUCUUGGAAAAGCUAGAAGUGAACAUAAAUACUAAAGCAGUUUUGAUAUUUGUGGACGCGGAGAAAGCUUUUGACAACAUUUCUUGGAGUUUUAUGAAGAAGAACCUACAGGGUAUGGGGGUAGGCCAAGGCUUUGAAAACGGUAUAAGUGCAAUUUAUUCAGAACAAAAGGCUAAAUUAAUUGUAAAUAAUGUGGUGAUGGAAGAACUUAAGAUAGAAAAAGGGACACGACAAGGAUGCCCAAUUUCCCCACUACUUUUUAUUUCGGUCCUGGAGGUUUUGCUGAACAUGAUUAGAAGGGACCAGUUGGUUAAAGGUAUACAGGUCGGAGCUAAACAGUACAAAUUGAGAGCAUUUGCAGAUGAUUUAGUAUUGACGUUACAGGAGCCAGAAUCUAGUACCAAAAGGGUUUUAGAACUGAUUCAAGAAUUUGGUCAGGUUGCAGGAUUUAAAUUGAACAAGUUAAAAACUAAGGUUUUAGAGAAAAAUCUAACACCAAUGGAGAGAGAGAGGUUUCAGAAUGUGACAGGUUUAACAGUGGUUAAGAAAGUUAAAUAUCUGGGGAUUAACAUGACAGCAAAAUGGGAAUUUAUUUAAAGAUAACUAUGUAAAAUGUUGGGCUGAAGUGUAAAAUGAUUUAUAAAUUUGGUCAAAUUUGAAGCUUUCACUGCUGGGCAGUAUUGCUGCAGUAAAAAUGAAUGUAUUGCCUAGAAUGUUGUUUUUAUUUCAAACACUGCAAAUUCUGGACAAAAUGGACUGUUUCAAGAGGUGGCAGAGAGAUAUUUCUAGAUUUGUCUGGCAGGGCAAGAAGCCCAGAAUAAAAUUUAAAAUACUAACAGAUGCAAAGGAAAGAGGUGGAUUUAUUAUGAAUCAGCAGCUUUUUGCUGGUUGAAAGAAUGGCUGCUUCUUGAAAACACUGACAUUUUGGAUCUAGAAGGUUUUAACAAUGUAUUUGGAUGGCAUGCAUAUUUGUGGUAUGAUAAGGUCAAAGCACAUAAAGCAUUUAAAAAUCGACUUCCGGGGGGCGGCGCGAACGGCAAUGGCGGUCCUCUUCUGAACGGGAGAGGAGGCUCCGCAGACAACGGGUCGUCCGCUACGGCGAAGCGGAGACCCAUUUCGGAAAACCCCAGGCAGCAAGAGCCUGGGGUCCUGAGGCUCGGUGGGCGCCUUGAGCGACCCUCCAAGCGCGAAAGGAACCCCGUAAGGGGCUCCGGAGCGUGGAGGGGGGUUGCGGCGCUGAGAGCUGUUUCACAGUCUGCGGAGUGAAGCCGCGCUGCUGCUGCCGGUGAGCGCUGAUCCCUUUUCCUGUUAAAAUACGGAUUCGGAGGAAAAGCAACUUAUUCGUGAGUAAAGACAAAAUUACUUGAAAUUAGAGACUUUAAAAGAAAAACUUUAAUUGGUUUGAACUUGGCUGAAAGCGGAGAGACGUGGAAACAGGAAGUCCGUCUUCCGCAGCCAUUGAACUUGAAAAAGCAACUAGCGGGAGGCGUGGCGGCUGAAACAAAGAGACUUUAAAUUUUACAGAUUUAAGCAUCUACUGAACCUGCAAUUCAAAGUAAAGACUUUAAGUUAAAGACUUGGAAUUAUUAUUUGCACUUGACUUUCCUCCUUUUAUUGGAUUACAAAUUAGAAGGUGAAACCCAGAGUCAGGAGCUGCCUGAGCAUUGAGAGACUGAGCUGUCAGUACUGCAGAUUUGGAUACUGUUAUUGGAACUUGCAACAAUCUGAGGGUAUUGAGACCCUUUAAAUUUGAAACAUUCUUUUGGAGACAAAUAAGCACUGUCUGUAACAAAGUGACCAUUUAUAAACUCUGCUAAACAUUUGUAUCUGAAGGUUCUUGGAUAUUAAAUUGGACUUUGAAAGACAUUUCAAGCUCCCUCUAGAGGAUUGGAUUAAAACAGUGACUUUACAGGUACAUUUUACUUUCGAUUCCCUUGUUGCUUGCUUGCUCUGGGCCUUUCUAUUCCCAUGGGAAAAACUCAGUGUGACCUUGACUGAUUGAUAACGUUGGAAUGAGUGGCACAAGAAGGAGAGGGAGAGUUAGACAAACAACUUUAACAACUCUAACCUCAGCCUCGCAGACACGUAGAUCAUCUGUACCUACUUUGCCCUCAGAAGUAGAAGUUGAAGAAGUUGCCUUGUCACAGGCAAAAGAGGGAGAGGGUGAAGCAGAGCAGUUACAAUUGGAAGAUAUGGCCUCAGGAGUAUCUGUCUCUGUUCUAGACAAAAUCUUUGAAAAAUUGGAAGCUUUGGACAAGAAAGUAGAUGUGCAAACAGCAAAGAUUGACAAAAACACAGAAUGUCUAAAUAAAUUAACCAUACAAGUGGUACAGAACACACAAGCAAUUGGACAGUUAACGGAGGCCUCAGCAGAAAAUCGGAAAUUGGCUGAGGAUACCAGACAAAAAUUGGAAAAUUUAGAGCAAGAGGUAAGACCACUCACUAAACAAGUUGGGGAACAUCAGAUUUACCUUUCUAUGAUAGAACUGCGAAAUCGUGAGAAUAAUCUGAGGAUUAGAUCAUUACAAGAGGCAGAAGAAGGAAAUUUAACUGAGUUUUUGACCAAAGAAUUCUCCAAGUUCUGGAAUUUGGAAGAAAAAGAUUUUAAAAUUGUGUCAGCUUUCAGACUUGGAAGAUUCAUAAAGAAGGAGAGGCCCAGAGACUGUUUGAUAACAUUGAGAUCAAAGGAGGAAAGGGAUAAGAUUUUGGGCCUACAUUACGGAAAGUCACUGGAGGUUUUGGAUAGAAGAAUUGAAAUUUAUAAAGAUAUUCCAAGACAACUGCUGGAUCUUAGAGCCGCCUAUUCUGAACUUGCUAAACUACUAAGGAGCAACGCAAUUCCAUUCAGGUGGGAAUUCCCCAAGGAAUAUCUUUCACCUUUAGAGGGAGAAAGGUCAAAGUUAGAACAUUGGAAGAGAGGGACAAAUUUUUGGCUACAUACGGAGAGGACCUUCAAAAAGGAAUUGAAUUACCUUCUGGGCCUGGGGCAACGCCAACAUCAACACCAGCACCUGGGGAACCUAAAGAUCCAGAGAAGAUACCACCCCUGGAGAAAUAACCAGAUUGAACCAGGAUGUCUCUGCAACUGCUGAGUUGGAAUAUUAAUGGUUGUAACAUUCCGGAAAAAAAGGAAGAAAAUAUUUCACAUAUUAAAAAAAGAACAAUUGGACAUUAUUUGUCUACAAGAAACACAUGUGACGAGGCUCCACAGAAAAGUGUUAAUAAAUAAAAGAUUGGGCCAGGAAUUUGUAUCGUCGGACAAAGUCAAGAAGAGAGGCGUGGUGAUAUAUGCAAAAGAGAGCCUGUCACCUAAAUUUUUAUUCAAAGAUGAACAUGGAAGAAUUUUGGCUAUUGAGAUACAAUAUCAAGGAGAGAAACUGUUGAUAUUAGGAAUUUAUGCACCUAAUGAAGGGAAAUCGGAAUUUUACAAGAAGCUGCAGGAGACAAUGCUGGACUAUCUGGAUUACAACAACAUCAUAAUGAUGGGAGAUAUGAAUGGGGUCGUAUCAACUAACAUGGACAAGUCACAAAGUCAAAAUGUUACAAAAGACGGCAGACUACCUAAAACCUUUUUUGAAAUGACUGACAAUAUGGACCUGAUUGACAUUUGGAGGACAAAGAACCCACUAGGAAGAGAAGGAACAUUUUUUCUGAAGCCCAACUGACCUGGACAAGAAUCGACCAAAUAUGGAUUUCUAGAGGCCUGGCACCUAAGGUCAGAAAAGUGGAAAUCUGCCCAAAGACCUGUUCCGACCAUAAUGCAGUAAAGAUGGAUAUGACACUACUACCAACUGGAUCCUUUAGAUGGAAGAUGAAUGACAAUUUGUUCAGAGAUCAGGAAAUUACCAAGAGGGCCCAAAAGCUUUGAAGGACUAUUUUGAGAUAAAUAUGAAUACUACGGUGGAAAAAAGAAUCGUCUGGGAUGCAAGCAAAGCUGUAAUGAGGGGAUUCUUGAUACAACAGAAUGCAGUAAAGAAAAGAACACAAAAUGAGAAAAAGAUAAGAUCUUGGAUAAAAUAAAAGAAUUAGAGAAGAAAUUAAGAGUGAAUCCGAAGUCACAGCCAACUCUGAGAGAAAUUAAACUUUAUCAGACACAAUAUUCUAAAUUGAUAAAUCAGGAAAUUGAAUGGAAGGUUAAAUUAAUGAAACAAAAACGUUUGAGUCGGCGAAUAAAUGUGGAAAAUUGCUAGCUUGGCAGUUGAAGAGAAGACAAAGAUUAAAUACGGUUACAAAUUUAGAAGUCGAUGGAAAAAACAUUCAGAAUCCAGUGGAUAUUAGAAAGUGUUUCCAGAGAUAUUUUAAAAAACUAUACACUCAAGGGCCGCAAGACGAAGUUGAGAUUAAACAAUUUUUGGCAAAAAAUGGACUAUCUAAACUGUCACAAGAAAAUAGGACAAUCCUGAAUUCUAAAAUAACACGACAGGAGAUUGAACAAGCCAUCCAGAACAUGCAACUCGGCAAAUCUCCAGGGCCAGAUGGGCUGACCUCCAAGUACUAUAAGACAUUAAAAGACUAUUUGAUACAACCUUUGAUGGAGGUCAGCAAUGAAAUUAUGGAGGGGAAGAGGGCACCGGAGUCGUGGAAGGAAGCGUUCAUCACAUUAAUACCAAAGUCGGAAGCUGAAAAGACACAACUUAAGAACUACCGUCCCAUCUCCCUUUUAAAUGUGGAUUACAAAAUAUUUGCAGACAUUUUGGCAAGUAGAUUUAAAAAAGUUUUAAAUGAAGUAAUCCAUAAGGACCAGGCCGGCUUUCUCCCAGGUAGACAUCUGUUUGCUAAUACAAGGAACAUCAUUGACAUUUUGGAACUUUUGCAAACAGAUAUAAAUACAAAAGCAGUUUUAAUUUUUAUAGAUGCGGAGAAGGCCUUUGACAAUAUCUCCUGGAAAUUUAUGAAGGGAAAUUUAAAAGAGAUGGGAGUGGGACGGGGUUUUGAGAAUGGGAUUGAGGCGAUAUAUUCAGAACAGAAAGCUAAAUUGAUAGUUAAUAAUGUGGUUACAGAAGAGUUCAAAAUUGAAAAAGGGACACGACAAGGUUGCCCUAUUUCCCUUUGUUAUUUAUCUCGGUUCUGGAAGUGCUAUUGAACAUGAUUAGAGGGGAUCGGUUGGUGGAAGGAAUUCAGGUCGGUCAGAAACAAUAUAAAUUAAAAGCUUUUGCAGAUGACCUGGUUUUGACCCUGCAGAAGCCAGAGCCCAGUACGAAAAGAGUAUUACAACUGAUAAAUGACUUUGGUCGGGUGGCUGGAUUUAAAUUAAAUAAACAGAAAACUAAGGUUUUGGGGAAAAAUUUGACAGAUACAGAGUCAGAACGGUUUCAGAAUGAGACGGAACUUAAUGUGGUUAAAAAGUAAAAUACCUAGGGGUAAACAUAACAGUAAAAAAUCUAAGUCUAUUUAAGGAUAACUAUGAAAAAUGCUGGUCAGAAAUUAAGAGAGACUUAGAUAGUUGGUCAAAACUGAAACUUUCUUUGUUAGGCCGAAUUGCUGCUAUUAAGAUGAAUGUAUUGCCAAGGAUGUUGUUUUUAUUUCAAACACUUCAGGUUUUGGACAAAACGGAGUGCUUUCAGAAGUGGCAGAGAGACAUUUCUAAGUUUGUCUGGCAGGGCAAAAAGCCCAGAAUUAAGUUUAAGAUAUUAACUGAUGCAAAACAAAGAGGGGGCUUUGCCCUGCCAGACUUAAAGUUGUAUUAUGAAGCCGCAGCGUUCUGCUGGCUAAAAGACUGGCUACUUCUUGAGGACACUGAUGUGUUGGAUCUGGAAGGGUUUAACAAUGCCUUUGGAUGGCAUGCAUAUUUAUGGUAUGACAAGGUUAAAGCAAAUAAGGCCUUUAAGAACCAUAUUGUCAGAAAAUCAUUGUUUAAUGUCUGGAUAAAAUAUAAAGACUUGCUGGAAAAUAAAACACCAAGGUGGCUUUCACCUCUGGAAGCUAAGGCCCGAAAAAGACCCAAUAUGGAGGCUAGAUGGCCAAAAUAUUGGGAAAUACUAGAAAAGGAUGGAGACAAUUGGAAAUUGCAGAGUUUGGAGAAAAUGAAAGACAAAGUGCGAGAUUGGUUACACUACGCUCAGAUUAAAGAAGUUUUUAAAAAUGAUAAGAAAUUAGGGUUCCAGGUGGAGAAAUCGAAACUAGAAACAGAAUUGUUAGAACCAAAGAUUAAGGUACUUUCAAGGAUGUAUAACUUGCUGUUGGAAUGGAAUACACAAGAUGAAACGGUUAAAUCGGCUAUGAUAAGGUGGGCACAGGACAUUGGGUAUAAUAUUAUGUUUGAGGACUGGGUAAGGUUGUGGAGUAAUGGAUUGAAAUUCACUGCAUGUAACGCUUUGAAAGAAAAUGUAAUGAAAAUGAUUUAUAGAUGGUAUAUGACCCCAGUCAAACUUGCAAAAAUUUACCACCUGUCUGAUAAUAAGUGUUGGAAAUGUAAAGAGUGUGAGGGAACGUUCUUCCACCUCUGGUGGACUUGCCCUAAAGUGAAGGCGUUCUGGGAAAUGAUUUAUAAUGAAUUGAAAAAGGUAUUUAAAUAUACCUUCACUAAGAAACCAGAGGCUUUCCUUUUGGGUAUUGUCGGCCAAGGGGUGGCAAAGAAGGACCAGACAUUUUUUAUGUAUGCAACAACAGCAGCAAGGAUACUUCUCGCAAAACAUUGGAAAACUCAAGAUCUACCCACACUGGAAGAAUGGCAGAUGCAACUGAUAGACUACAUGGAACUGGCUGAAAUGACCGGCAGAAUUCGUGACCUGGGAGAAGAGAGGAUGGAGGAGGAUUGGAAGAAAUUUAAGAACUAUCUACAAAAAUAUUGUGAUUUGAGUGAAUGCUAAAUAAGAUGCUAGAUUAAAAUAACUGAGCACCACUUAACUUAGAAGUUUUUAAGAAAACAAGUAAGACUGUGAAAGUUUAACUCUUUUUGAGAAUUAUAAGACUAUGAAAUAUUGAAGGGAUAUAAGAAUUCAAAUAAGAUGAUAAAUUGCUGACAAAAUGUUAUAACGAUGAAAGUGGGAGCGGGAGAUGUGAGGAAGUCCAAAGAAAAUGUGAAACUAUGUUAAGACAAAUGUUAUAUUGUUUAUUAUGUUUAUUCUUAUUGUAAAACCCAAUAAAUUGCUUUAAAAAAAAAUAAAAAUCAUAUUGUCAGGAAAGCUUUGUUUAAUGUUUGGAUAAGAUAUAAGGACUUAUUGGAAAAUAAAACCUCAAGGUGGCUGUCACCGAUGGAAGCGGAAGCCUUGAAAAAGCUCAAUACGGAGGUCAAAUGGCCGAAAUAUUGGGAAAUUUUAGAACAAGAUGGAGAUAGAUUGAAACUGCAGAGUUUUGAAAAACUAAAAAAUAAAGUGCGAGACUGGCUUCAUUAUUAUCAGAUAAUGGAGGCAUACAAUUUGGACAAGAAAAUUGGCUUCCAGGUGGAAAAAUCAAAAUUAGAAACAGAACUCUUUGAACCCAAAACUAAGAAUUUGUCAAGAAUGUAUAACUUGCUGCUGAAAUGGAAUACUCAGGAUGAAACGGUGAAAUCUGCUAUGAUUAAAUGGGCACAAGAUGUUGGACAUAAUAUUAUGUUUGCUGACUGGGAACAGUUAUGGACCAGGUAUGAAGUUUACGGCAUGUAAUGCCCUAAGAGAGAAUAUUAUGAAAAUGAUAUACAGGUGGUACAUAACCCCAGUCAAGCUUGCAAAAAUCUACCAUUUGCCCGAUAAUAAAUGUUGGAAAUGUAAAGAAACUGAAGGUACAUUUUUUCACCUUUGGUGGACGUGCCCAAAGAUUAAGGCUUUCUGGGAGAUGAUAUAUAAUGAAUUAAAAAAGGUAUUUAAAUAUACCUUCUUGAAGAAACCAGAGGCCUUUCUCCUGGGCAUAGUCGGCCAAUCGGUGUUAAAAAGGGAUAGAACUUUCUUUAUGUAUGCUACAACAGCAGCAAGAAUACUCAUCGCAAAGUAUUGGAAGACACAAGAGCUACCCACACUGGAGGAAUGGCAGAUGAAAAUGAUGGACUACAUGGAAUUGGCGGAAAUGACUGGCAGAAUCUGUGACCAGGGAGAAGAGUCGGUGGAAGAAGAUUGGAAGAAAUUUAAAGAUUAUUUACAGAAAUAUUGCAAAAUUAAUGAAUGUUAGAGUGAUGUUGGAUUGAAGUUAAGUGGCUUCUAGCUGUACAGGCUUUAAAGUUAUAAAUAUAUCAAGAUUAAGGAUUAGGAUUAAAAAGGUUAAAAGAAUGGAAAAAUUGGUUUUUAAUAGGUAAAAACUUAAUGUUAUAAUAUAUUAAGAUUAAGGAUUGGGAUUAAAAAAAGGAGGGAAAGAAAUUGCUGGACUAACAAAUUGAAUUGGAAUACAAAAGAGGGAGGUAUGAGGACGUCUGGG
Podarcis lilfordi (Lilford's wall lizard) is the source of this 8609-nucleotide non-coding RNA. The record is from the annotation of a GenBank genome assembly. Lineage: Eukaryota; Metazoa; Chordata; Lepidosauria; Squamata; Lacertidae.